RNAcentral lists this ribosomal RNA (514 nucleotides) under uncultured bacterium. RNAcentral describes it as "partial 16S ribosomal RNA". It matches the Rfam family "Bacterial small subunit ribosomal RNA", at positions 28 to 523 of the family's 1533-position model. The record is from RNAcentral.
GACGAACGCUGGCGGCGUGCCUAAUACAUGCAAGUCGAGCGAACAGAAAAGGAGCUUGCUCCUUUGACGUUAGCGGCGGACGGGUGAGUAACACGUGGGCAACCUACCCUAUAGUUUGGGAUAACUCCGGGAAACCGGGGCUAAUACCGAAUAAUCUCUUUUGCUUCAUGGCAAGAGACUGAAAGACGGUUUCGGCUGUCGCUAUAGGAUGGGCCCGCGGCGCAUUAGCUAGUUGGUGAGGUAACGGCUCACCAAGGCGACGAUGCGUAGCCGACCUGAGAGUGUGAUCGGCCACACUGGGACUGAGACACGGCCCAGACUCCUACGGGAGGCAGCAGUAGGGAAUCUUCCACAAUGGGCGAAAGCCUGAUGGAGCAACGCCGCGUGAGUGAAGAAGGUUUUCGGAUUGUAAAACUCUGUUGUAAGGGAAGAACAAGUACAGUAGUAACUGGCUGUACCUUGACGGUACCUUAUUAGAAAGCCACGGCUAACUACGUGCCAGCAGCCGCGGUAA